AGCAGCCGCGGUAAUUCCAGCUCCAAUAGCGUAUAUUAAAGUUGUUGCAGUUAAAAAGCUCGUAGUUGAAUUUCGGGAUCAAUUAAUUGGUCGUGCCUCUGGUACGUACUGAUUUUAUUGGUUUCUCCCUUCUGACGAACCAUGAUGUCAUUAAUUUGGUGUCGUGGAGAAUCAGGACUGUUACUUUGAAAAAAUUAGAGUGUUUAAAGCAAGCUAACGCUUGAAUACAUUAGCAUGGAAUAAUGAAAUAGGACGUUUGAUCCUAUUUUGUUGGUUUCUAGGAUCGACGUAAUGAUUAAUAGGGAUAGUUGGGGGCAUUAGUAUUCAAUUGUCAGAGGUGAAAUUCUUGGAUUUAUUGAAGACUAACUACUGCGAAAGCAUUUGCCAAGGAUGUUUUCAUUAAUCAAGAACGAAAGUUAGGGGAUCGAAGACGAUCAGAUACCGUCGUAGUCUUAACCAUAAACUAUGCCGACUAGGGAUCGGAUGAUGUAAUU
Molecule: ribosomal RNA, 494 nt
Filed under: uncultured Glomus
Lineage: Eukaryota; Fungi; Glomeromycota; Glomeromycetes; Glomerales; Glomeraceae
Description: SSU rRNA
Rfam family: Eukaryotic small subunit ribosomal RNA
Source: RNAcentral